AUUCCAGCUCCAAUAGCGUAUAUUAAAGUUGUUGCAGUUAAAACGCUCGUAGUCGGAUUUCGGGGCGGGCCGACCGGUCUGCCGAUGGGUAUGCACUUUUUUUCGUUUUUUUCCCCCCUUCUCCCGCGCCUACUCUUAACUGAGCGGGCGCGGGAGACGGGUCUUUUACUUUGAAAAAAUCAGAGUGUUUCAAGCAGGCAGUCGCUCUUGCAUGGAUUAGCAUGGGAUAAUGAAAUAGGACUCUGGUGCUAUUUUGUUGGUUUCGAACACCGGAGUAAUGAUUAACAGGGACAGUCAGGGGCACUCGUAUUCCGCCGAGAGAGGUGAAAUUCUCAGACCAGCGGAAGACGAACCACUGCGAAAGCAUUUGCCAGGGAUGUUUUCAUUG
Molecule: ribosomal RNA, 388 nt
Filed under: Gephyrocapsa sp.
Lineage: Eukaryota; Haptophyta; Isochrysidales; Noelaerhabdaceae
Description: partial small subunit ribosomal RNA
Rfam family: Eukaryotic small subunit ribosomal RNA
Source: RNAcentral